Molecule: ribosomal RNA, 1799 nt
Filed under: Erwinia rhapontici
Lineage: Bacteria; Pseudomonadati; Pseudomonadota; Gammaproteobacteria; Enterobacterales; Erwiniaceae
Description: partial 16S ribosomal RNA
Rfam family: Bacterial small subunit ribosomal RNA (bases 255-1797)
Source: RNAcentral
AAAAACUUCUCAAAAAGAAGUUGACUCCGAAGGAGGAAAGCGUAAUAUACGCCACCUCGCAACAGGAAGCUUCGGCACUGAUUGCACCGCUCUUUAACAAUUUAUCAGACAAUCUGUGUGGGCACUCGCAGGAUUGAUAUCAGUCACCUCCGGGUGACAAAAAAUAUCAAGUCUUAAGAGUGAACACAUAAUGAAAUUCAUUAUGACGUUUUACACUUGAGCAUCGCUGCACUUGUUGCAGCAAAUCGAACUUUUAAUUGAAGAGUUUGAUCAUGGCUCAGAUUGAACGCUGGCGGCAGGCCUAACACAUGCAAGUCGAACGGUAGCACAGAGGAGCUUGCUCCUUGGGUGACGAGUGGCGGACGGGUGAGUAAUGCCUGGGAAACUGCCCGAUGGAGGGGGAUAACUACUGGAAACGGUAGCUAAUACCGCAUAACGUCUUCGGACCAAAGUGGGGGACCUUCGGGCCUCACACCAUCGGAUGUGCCCAGGUGGGAUUAGCUAGUAGGUGGGGUAAUGGCUCACCUAGGCGACGAUCCCUAGCUGGUCUGAGAGGAUGACCAGCCACACUGGAACUGAGACACGGUCCAGACUCCUACGGGAGGCAGCAGUGGGGAAUAUUGCACAAUGGGCGCAAGCCUGAUGCAGCCAUGCCGCGUGUAUGAAGAAGGCCUUCGGGUUGUAAAGUACUUUCAGUGGGGAGGAAGGCGAUGAGGUUAAUAGCCUCGUCGAUUGACGUUACCCGCAGAAGAAGCACCGGCUAACUCCGUGCCAGCAGCCGCGGUAAUACGGAGGGUGCAAGCGUUAAUCGGAAUUACUGGGCGUAAAGCGCACGCAGGCGGUCUGUCAAGUCGGAUGUGAAAUCCCCGGGCUCAACCUGGGAACUGCAUUCGAAACUGGCAGACUAGAGUCUUGUAGAGGGGGGUAGAAUUCCAGGUGUAGCGGUGAAAUGCGUAGAGAUCUGGAGGAAUACCGGUGGCGAAGGCGGCCCCCUGGACAAAGACUGACGCUCAGGUGCGAAAGCGUGGGGAGCAAACAGGAUUAGAUACCCUGGUAGUCCACGCCGUAAACGAUGUCGACUUGGAGGUUGUGCCCUUGAGGCGUGGCUUCCGGAGCUAACGCGUUAAGUCGACCGCCUGGGGAGUACGGCCGCAAGGUUAAAACUCAAAUGAAUUGACGGGGGCCCGCACAAGCGGUGGAGCAUGUGGUUUAAUUCGAUGCAACGCGAAGAACCUUACCUGGCCUUGACAUCCACGGAAUUCGGCAGAGAUGCCUUAGUGCCUUCGGGAACCGUGAGACAGGUGCUGCAUGGCUGUCGUCAGCUCGUGUUGUGAAAUGUUGGGUUAAGUCCCGCAACGAGCGCAACCCUUAUCCUUUGUUGCCAGCGAGUAAUGUCGGGAACUCAAAGGAGACUGCCGGUGAUAAACCGGAGGAAGGUGGGGAUGACGUCAAGUCAUCAUGGCCCUUACGGCCAGGGCUACACACGUGCUACAAUGGCGCAUACAAAGAGAAGCGACCUCGCGAGAGCAAGCGGACCUCAUAAAGUGCGUCGUAGUCCGGAUCGGAGUCUGCAACUCGACUCCGUGAAGUCGGAAUCGCUAGUAAUCGUAGAUCAGAAUGCUACGGUGAAUACGUUCCCGGGCCUUGUACACACCGCCCGUCACACCAUGGGAGUGGGUUGCAAAAGAAGUAGGUAGCUUAACCUUCGGGAGGGCGCUUACCACUUUGUGAUUCAUGACUGGGGUGAAGUCGUAACAAGGUAACCGUAGGGGAACCUGCGGUUGGAUCACCUCCUUACC